GGCCUCGUAGCUCAGCUGGUAGAGCGUGCGCUAUACAAAAGCGUAGGCGACGUCCGUGCGUUGGUUCAAAUCCCAUCGAGGCGG
This 84-nucleotide transfer RNA is filed under the name Echinostoma caproni. It matches the Rfam family "tRNA". Rfam says of the family: Transfer RNA (tRNA) molecules are approximately 80 nucleotides in length. The record is from Rfam by way of RNAcentral. Lineage: Eukaryota; Metazoa; Platyhelminthes; Trematoda; Plagiorchiida; Echinostomatidae.